UACGUAGGGCGCAAGCGUUGUCCGGAAUUAUUGGGCGUAAAGAGCUCGUAGGCGGCCAGUUGCGUCUGCUGUGAAAUCCCGGGGCUUAACCCCGGGCGUGCAGUGGAUACGGGCUGGCUGGAGGCAGGCAGGGGAGAACGGAAUUCCUGGUGUAGCGGUGAAAUGCGCAGAUAUCAGGAGGAACACCGGUGGCGAAGGCGGUUCUCUGGGCCUGUACUGACGCUGAGGAGCGAAAGCGUGGGGAGCGAACAGG
This 253-nucleotide ribosomal RNA is filed under the name uncultured bacterium. RNAcentral's name for it is "partial 16S ribosomal RNA". It matches the Rfam family "Bacterial small subunit ribosomal RNA", at positions 524 to 776 of the family's 1533-position model. The record is from RNAcentral.